UACGGAGGGUGCAAGCAUUAAUCGGAUUGAUUGGGCGUAAAGGGCGCGUAGGCUGGGAGGCAAGUCAGAUGUGAAAGCCCGGGGCUCAACCCCGGAACAGCAUUUGAAACUGCUUCUCUUGAGGAUAGGCGGGGAAAACGGAACUCCAGCAUGUAGCGGUGAAAUGCGUAGAUAUGUGGAAGAACACCUGUGGCGAAAGCGGUUUCUAGCUUAUUCCUGACGCUGAGGCGCGAAAGCAAGGG
Molecule: ribosomal RNA, 242 nt
Filed under: uncultured bacterium
Lineage: Bacteria
Description: partial 16S ribosomal RNA
Rfam family: Bacterial small subunit ribosomal RNA
Source: RNAcentral